This 787-nucleotide ribosomal RNA is filed under the name uncultured bacterium. RNAcentral's name for it is "bacterial SSU rRNA". It matches the Rfam family "Bacterial small subunit ribosomal RNA", at positions 8 to 796 of the family's 1533-position model. The record is from RNAcentral.
AGAGUUUGAUCAUGGCUCAGAAUGAACGCUGGCGGUGCGCCUAACACAUGCAAGUCGAGCGAGAAAGGGACUUCGGUCCUGAGUAGAGCGGCAGACGGGUGAGUAACACGUAGGGAUCUACCUUUUAGUGAAGGAUACCUUCGAGAAAUUGAAGUUAAUACUGCAUACGUCCUUAGGGAGAAAGAUGGCCUCUUGCUGUCGCUAAAAGAUGAACCUGCGUCCUAUUAGCUUGUUGGUGGGGUAAAAGCCUACCAAGGCGAUGAUGGGUAGCCGGCCUGAGAGGGUGAUCGGCCACAUUGGAACUGAGAUACGGUCCAGACUCCUACGGGAGGCAGCAGUGAGGAAUAUUGCGCAAUGGGCGAAAGCCUGACGCAGCGACACCGCGUGAAGGAUGAAGGUUUUAGGAUCGUAAACUUCUGUUAAGUGGGAAGAAAGGUUCAUAAGUAAUAUAUAUGAAAGAUGACGGUACCACUAGAGAAAGCACCGGCUAACUUCGUGCCAGCAGCCGCGGUAAUACGAGGGGUGCAAGCGUUAUUCGGAAUUAUUGGGCGUAAAGGGUGCGUAGGCGGCAUUUCAAGUCCACUGUUAAAUUUCCCAGCCUAACUGGGAGUCGGCGGUAGAUACUGAUUUGCUAGAGGAUGGAAGAGAGAAGUGGAAUUCUUGGAGUAGCGGUAAAAUGCGUAGAUCUCAAGAGGAACACCGAUGGCGAAGGCAGCUUCUUGGUCCAUUCCUGACGCUAAGGCACGAAAGCGUGGGGAGCAAACAGGAUUAGAUACCCUAGUAGUCC